UCACGGCGCGGUUCCCUACCGGGUCUUUGGCAGCACUUCGGCGGCGGGUCCUUCACUUGCUCCGGGUAAAGGACCAGCCACCAAAAUGCCUCUGAAAGCCUGGAGCAAGUGAAGACCCCCGUGCCACCGAGGUGCUGCCGAGGACCCAGUAGGGAACCGGUUAUUAGGAUUUUGGGAGCUCAUCACUGCCCCUGAGCGAUGCAGUUGUAGUGACAUAAGUUUGUAGCGUAGCCCAGGGCUAAAGGCUUCACGUUUCACUUUAAUGACUUUUAAAAAAUACUGACCUGCUCUUUAUACUCUUGUCAACUAAACUAUUAGAAGAGAAAACAGUUUACUUAUCCUCUUAAAAUGUAAUUCAUUUAUGGGAAGAAAAGUUUCCACUCCAUAAAGGAAUACUGUCAAUUGGGAAAGUUUUAAGAUAGACUAAUUUCAAAAUCCAAGCUUCACAUCUUUAUCACGCCAUGUAUGCACAACUGCUAAAGCAAUGCACCUGAUCAAAGCAAUUACUUAGGAAGAGCUUUCCCAUUCUAAUGUGAGUUGCCUACACUAGCAAGCACAGACCUGCAACAACAGUGGUGUUCUGGUGCAGAUGAGAAGGCAUCGAUCUCGUUUCCGAGAGGCUUAGGAGCGAAUCAAAUACCACAAAGGUCCUGGAAAUUUACAAGCAUGAGCACUCUAUGAAGGAGCCAGGCCUUGAGGUGAAGAAUGACGAGGCUGGGAUGCAGAGUGUGUCCUUUGUUCUGUGAGAGGAGGACUUUUGCCAGGAGGGGGAAUGGAGGAAAGGCAUAAAGAAUGCUCCUGUCCCAGGGAAGAAGAAAAGCAUUGCCUAGGGUGUGUUGCCCUAUCCCUGCUCUGGAGCAGUAGCAUGGACAUUUCUUGUUCCAGUGAGUACCAAACUGGUCUGCGGUCACUGUCCCCCAGCAUCUGAAUAGGUCGUGAAAUACUCUGGGUUUAUUUCCCAUUGGUGGUUGUGUGGGAACUUGCUACUUAAGCCUGGUUUACACUCCCAGUUUAGGUCGAAUUUUGUAGUAUUACAUCGAAUUAACCCUGCACCCUUCCACACAACGAAGCCAUUUACUUCAACAUAAAGGGCUCUUAAAAUUGAUUUC
Molecule: long non-coding RNA, 1109 nt
Organism: Gopherus evgoodei (Goodes thornscrub tortoise)
Lineage: Eukaryota; Metazoa; Chordata; Testudines; Testudinidae
Exons: 4
Source: RefSeq, a predicted model, not a curated record